AUUGAACGCUGGCGGCAGGCUUAACACAUGCAAGUCGAGCGGAGAUGAGGUGCUUGCAUCUUAUCUUAGCGGCGGACGGGUGAGUAAUGCUUAGGAAUCUGCCAUUUAGUGGGGGACAACAUUCCGAAAGGAAUGCUAAUACCGCAUACGUCCUACGGGAGAAAGCAGGGGAUCUUCGGACCUUGCGCUAAAUGAUGAGCCUAAGUCGGAUUAGCUAGUUGGUGGGGUAAAGGCCUACCAAGGCGACGAUCUGUAGCGGGUCUGAGAGGAUGAUCCGCCACACUGGGACGGAGACACGGCCCAGACUCCUACGGGAGGCAGCAGUGGGGAAUAUUGGACAAUGGGCGGAAGCCUGAUCCAGCCAUGCCGCGUGUGUGAAGAAGGCCUUUUGGUUGUAAAGCACUUUAAGCGAGGAGGAGGCUACUAGUACUAAUACUACUGGAUAGUGGACGUUACUCGCAGAAUAAGCACCGGCUAACUCUGUGCCAGCCGCCGCAGUAA
This 501-nucleotide ribosomal RNA is filed under the name uncultured bacterium. Its description in RNAcentral is "partial 16S ribosomal RNA". It matches the Rfam family "Bacterial small subunit ribosomal RNA", at positions 30 to 523 of the family's 1533-position model. The record is from RNAcentral.